RNAcentral lists this transfer RNA (61 nucleotides) under Silvanus bidentatus. Its description in RNAcentral is "tRNA-Cys". The record is from RNAcentral. Lineage: Eukaryota; Metazoa; Arthropoda; Insecta; Coleoptera; Silvanidae.
AGUCUUAUAGUCAAAAAUGACAUUAAAUUGCAAAUUUAAAGGAGAGGUAUCUUUAAGGCUU